This 2802-nucleotide long non-coding RNA is filed under the name Cinara cedri. The record is from RNAcentral. Lineage: Eukaryota; Metazoa; Arthropoda; Insecta; Hemiptera; Aphididae.
AAAAAAAUUCCAAAAAAUUGCUUGAGAGCUAAACUUUAUUCGUUCCUGCAUUGGAUUAGAAAUAUUUAAUAAUUCAAUUUUUGUGUUUGAUUCCUUAGAAACAUGUACAGUAUUAAAUAUUGAAAAUUGUAUCAAAUUUUUGAUAACAGUUUUAGCAAUAUUUGUUUGAAUUGUUUACAUUACUAACACAACCAUACAUCAAAUACUGUUCAACUAUCAAUUAAAUAAUGCUAGAUUUGCAUUACAAUGAUUGUUUUCUCACACAAAAAUAAUUGUAUGGACAAUUAUUAUUAUUAUUAUUAUAUGUAUUCUAUUAUUCAAUAUUUUGUUCAAAUAAAUAAAAUUUACUUCACUAUUUUUUUUUUUAUUUAUGUGUAAAAUAAAUUAAUAUCUAUUUAUUAUUUACAUAAUUUCAUGAAUCAAAAAUAUAUAAAUUCAAUAAGUCUCUAGUCUUAGUAAUAAGAUAGAUAGUAAUUAGUAAUUAUUAGAUAUAUGAGUAAAUUUUUUGUUUUUCUUUUAAAGGUCAACAUAGUGAUAAAUAUUAUUCAGACAACAUAUUGUAUCUUGUGAGAAAACUGGCAUUGAAGUAAUCAACUCAUCCUUUGCACUUUUAUGUGGUGUGAAUCCAGCACUUACCAUAGACUGUAAAAACUGUAAAACAUUGAUCUAUUCACCACAAUCAUAGUCCAUUGGCUUCCUGUCAAAUAUUUCAAUUGUUUAAUUCAAAUUCCAUAUACCAGGUAAUCCAUUUAAGUGGGUAAACUCACAUUUUAUCUCUUAUCUCUUCGAUAAAGUUCUAUAAAAUUAUUUAAGUUUAUGUAAUUAAAAUUAUAUAUUUUAGUGUUAAAAUUUAUUUUAACUAAUACUCCAUCUAUGGACUUAUUAUUAUUAUUAUUAUUAUUAGGUUGCUAUUUGAAAAUUAAAAGUAGAUAAUGGUAAAACAGUCCAAAAAUAAGGGUGACAAAAGAUAACAUAAAUAUAAAAUUUUAGAGCUGGUUGUUUCUUAAGGCCCCUUCUCACCAACGUAAAUAUUGAUUUUUAAACAGAGUUUAUAAUUGCCUUUCUCAACCAUAGGGUCAUGACCUAAUUUUGGGUCUCCAUUUUAAAUGUGUCUCCAAAUAAUAAAAACGUUAAUAUAAUAAUUUCAGUUAUAGACUGCCUGUAUAAAAAAGUUUUAAAAAUAAUUAAUGAAAUAUUUUUCUGAAAUUAUUUUUCUUAACAAACAAGUAUAAAUUUAUAAUUUUUGACUAUAGUCUUUCAAUACUAUAAAUACACUAUCGGAUCACAUCCAUAGAAAGAUUAAAUUUGGUAAGUUGUUGACCUGUAUUUUUUUGGUAUCAAUUGUCAUUAUUGUGAACUUCACAAAGUACUCAUUACUCAUUUAGUCAUGUAUAUUAAUUUUAAAAUAAACGAAAGGUAAUAGUUUCUUUUAGUUAUGGUAAUUGAACAAUUAAGUUAAAUGGGUUGGGUAGGAUGGGCAGCAUCCUUUUUUUGUUGGAGAGAAAUGUUCUAGAAAACAAAUUCCGGAAAUAGUUAAUGCUUUCCGAAAUAAUGAAUAUACCCACUUAAUUGGAUCAUCUAGUAUGAGUAGUACUGUUUUUGUGUCUUUUUCCUCUUUUCUCCAUCAAUUAAAUUUAUUCAAUACCUAUUCAUAAAAAGUAUAUUGUGGUGUCAAGUUUAAUUACUGAAAAUAAAAUUCAAACCUUGAAAACAUAGAUACCAUCAGAGUUGUAGAAUAUACAUUGUAAUUCACUAAGCUAACCUUAUUUUUUUGGUUAAAUUUUGCUCUUACAUUCAAAUUCUGAUUUUUGUGAUUUUUAGGUGUAGUUAAAGUUAAUAUUUUCGAAUACUUAGAUUUUUUUGCAACAUUUAAGAAGUAUCUGUGGUAUUACCAACUUUAAUAAUAAUAUCAUAUUUAUUGUAACAAUAACAAAUCUUUACAUAUUAUAAAUAUUAUAAAUAAUAUUAAAUAAAUAUUGCAGCGCCCUAAAAAGCAGAGCUUGUACUGGGGGUGCAAGUUCUUAAAAGAAAAAAAAUAUAAACCAAGAAUAAGUUUAGUUACAAUGAUAAUUAAAAAUAAAAAUUACAAUUACAAAUAGAAUAAAGAGACUUAAUUAAUAUAAUAGAGCAUCAAUGAGGUAUCAAAUCUUAAUAACAUGAUACCAAUAAAGAAAAUAAAUAAAAUAGAUAGACAAUUAGUGACAAAUAUGAGAUAAUUAAUAACUGAAAUUAAAUACAAUUUAAAUCUAAUUUUUUAAAGUAAUUAAAUUCUUAAAAUUAUUUAAAUUAAUAUUAAAUGAAACACAUAAAUCUAAGCCAAUAUAAAAUGUCCUUUUUUUACCGUUUUCUGUUCAUGAUCAACUAUUGGUAAUAAAUGUUUUUGUCUAAAUAAAUCUAUCAGAAUAGAAAGAUUAUAAAUAAAUUUAAAUUUUUACAUUUCAGUGCUUCAUUCUACUAGUGCUUGUUUGAAAAGGUAAAUUUAAUAAAUAUUUUAUAGUACAAUUAAUAGUAUCAUUUAAUCUGGAUAAAUGGAUAUUAUAGGUUUCUACUAAAAUUGAUAAACCAUACAAAUAAUACAAUUGUACUAGGGAUGAAUAAAGAAUUCUUUGAAUACAUAGAAGAAUUUAUGUAAAUUAUUAUUUAAAAAGUUAAUAUGUGUCCCAUGUUAGCCUAUAAUCAAGAAUUAAUCCAAGAUAUUUAAUUUAUAAUACUUUUCCAAGAUUGAUAUAUUUAGGAUUGCAGGUUGAAUUACAAUUAGGUAUACAGUUUAACUAAUAAACUUGUUAAAUUAUUAUUUGUAAA